This 397-nucleotide RNase P RNA is filed under the name Syntrophomonadaceae bacterium. Its description in RNAcentral is "RNase P RNA component class A". It matches the Rfam family "Bacterial RNase P class A". Rfam says of the family: Ribonuclease P (RNase P) is a ubiquitous endoribonuclease, found in archaea, bacteria and eukarya as well as chloroplasts and mitochondria. Its best characterised activity is the generation of mature 5'-ends of tRNAs by cleaving the 5'-leader elements of precursor-tRNAs. RNAcentral also lists the same sequence under 1 other name. The record is from RNAcentral. Lineage: Bacteria; Bacillati; Bacillota; Clostridia; Eubacteriales; Syntrophomonadaceae.
CGAGUAAAUCGGAUAGUCGCGGGUCAAAAUUGACCUGAGGAAAGUCGGAGCUCCACAGGGCAGGGUGCUGGGUAACACCCAGUGAGGGCAACCUCAAGGAUAGUGCCACAGAAACAAACCGCCGAAAGUGGGAACCUGCAUUAUGAAGUUAGUUUAAUCAUGGCGAUUUCUAAAUACAGUUUCCCACUUUCGGUAAGGGUGGAACGGUGAGGUAAGAGCUCACCAGCGGUCAGGCGACUGGUCGGCUAGGUAAACCCCACCCGGAGCAAGACCAAAUAGGGGAGCAUUGGAGUUGCCCACUCCGCUCCCGGGUUGGGUCGCUAGAGGUGGCAGGCAACUGCCAUCCCAGAUAGAUGACUAUCUUUAACAGAACUCCGCUUACAGAUUUGCUCGCGUC